Molecule: long non-coding RNA, 1277 nt
Organism: Felis catus (domestic cat)
Lineage: Eukaryota; Metazoa; Chordata; Mammalia; Carnivora; Felidae
Exons: 3
Source: RefSeq, a predicted model, not a curated record
CCCACAGUACAGACUGCGAUGAAGAUGGUGAUGAGGAGGGAGAGGCUGGGUGAGGUGGGGAGGUCUCUCCACAAGUCGCAGCAUGCCAGGGAAGAACCUUGAUGCUGAAGGAGCCUAAGGGGGAGAGAAGGAGGAAGUCCCAUUUGUAAGCCACCCUUCUAUAGCAGCAGUGGAUUCAGGGAGGAAGGAUGGUGCCAGGGAGAGCAAGGAGCCAAAGAACUGAGAAGUGGACAAGGACCUCCGUUCUGGUAGCUACAUACGUUUGGGGAUCUGGGAAGAAUGUCCUCCGAAUGGAAGGAUUAGCCAGCCAGGGGCUUGGACCAGACUCCUGAGCAUCAGAACCCUGAGAAGAAAAUGGAGCAAUAUGAACUACAGACAUUCACCACCAGGGGACGCUGCCACCUGUACCAGGGCUAUUCCCAAACCUGAGGACUUCAGCUUAAUGACUAAGCAUGUUUUCUAUAACUUUACACAGUACCUUUGCUUGUGUGCACACUCUCUUCCAGCUCUAAGAUACGAGAUUCAGUAAUGUUGUAUAGUUAGUUCCUCAAUGCUAAGGGUUUUGUUAUGAUCCUGAAAGUCCCCAGAAUCAAAUAUAUGCUGUUGGGAAAAACGGGGUCAUGGGACUAAUAAUCAUGUGUGAACUUUUGAAAGCAUAUACGCUGUAGUUUAAAUCUGUACAUAUAUAAAAUUCACUCAUGUAGGUACAAAACUCCAAUCACUUAUCUCUUUAUACACCUACAUGAAAGAAACAAAGCAUACCCAUAUAUUUCUCCGUACUUAAGAAUAGUUCUAUUCUGAACUCUUUGGGGACAUUUUUAUCAUUUUUAUCUUCUAAAUAUUAAUAAUAUUAUUUAAUUUCCAGUAUGAUUUUGUGAAAAUUUUGUUCACCUACAACUAAAAACCUACCAAUUUAAGCCACCAUUUCUAGCCAUUUAUAGAAAGAGAUGUGUAUGUGUGUAUGUAUGUAUGGAUACCUCAAGUCUCUUUUCUACCAUUAGCCUCUCCAUGUAACUAUCACAGGCAUUUUAUAAACCUCUCUACUUCUAACUCCAAAAAUUUCUACGUGCGAUAAUCAUGCAAGAGAUCAUUUCUACCUAGAUUUUAUUUAUGUGGUAUGUGCUACAGUUUCUAUUUUGUCUAUUCAAUUUAUCUGUCAAUUCACCUGCACCUAUUUCCUUUUUUAUUUUUCCAAAUUUCCUUUUUCCCUUGAAUUUAAAAAAAUGAAAAAACUUUGUCUUUAAUUUACAGUUGAUUCUUCUAUUGGAGAUUCUUUU